Acanthopagrus latus (yellowfin seabream) is the source of this 724-nucleotide long non-coding RNA. RefSeq lists it as uncharacterized. The transcript has 5 exons. The record is from RefSeq and is a predicted model, not a curated record. NCBI's taxonomy places the organism in Eukaryota, Metazoa, Chordata, Actinopteri, Spariformes, Sparidae.
UUCUGUCAGCUUUCCUUCCCACCACCUGGAUGUCGGAGGACGUCAUACUGGCCGCACAGAGUGUACGGAGGACACAACAUGGCGGCACACUCUGCCUCAGCUUCAGCAUCACAUUACAGGUGGUGUUGCUGAAGUUUAAGCAACUUCAAAGACAAUGGAUAGUGAAAAUCUGGAGGGACAUCAGGCGGUAUUUCAAGAGAAUAUUACCAUCAGGAUAGACCCUCAGCAUGAUGUUCUCCAUGGUUGUGUCAUGGAUAAAAGAACGCUUAGAGUGGACAAAGAACACGUCAGGAACCCAAAUCUUCUUCACCAGACGUGCAUCGAAGGUCCGACUCUUGUUGCUGCUGGAGGGGAAGGCCAGACGAUCGUCCUGCCAGUAAUGCCUCAGGGGCAGAAUGCUGUGAACGUAUGAUGUGUGCUGCAAACAUCCCGUUCCCUCUGUGCCAUUAUCUAAUGAAGCAGAUACGAGUUAAGACCCCCCUGGAGUCGGGUUUGUUCUCACAUUGGACUGUUGCUGAGCUGCAUUCUCCACGUUCAAUUCAGCCAUAUGACCACUUGCUGAGACCACAAGCCUUUAAGUUGAGUUCAAGGUGAAAUCGAUUGUGAUUUGACUGUAAAAGUUUUGAUGAAUAUUCAAUCAGUCUUGUACACUCAGAUUAAAAACAAAAAUGAAAUGAAAAUCCAAGCCCGUGCUUGGAAGCAGUUUAUAUCCUCUAACAGCAGG